AACGAACGCUGGCGGCAUGCCUAACACAUGCAAGUCGAACGAGACCUUCGGGUCUAGUGGCGCACGGGUGCGUAACACGUGGGAAUUUGCCUCGGGGUAUGGAAUAACUCAGGGAAACUUGAGCUAAUACCAUAUAAUGUCUUCGGACCAAAGAUUUAUCGCCCUGAGAUAAGCCCGCGUAGGAUUAGCUAGUUGGUGAGGUAAAGGCUCACCAAGGCGACGAUCCUUAGCUGGUCUGAGAGGAUGAUCAGCCACACUGGGACUGAGACACGGCCCAGACUCCUACGGGAGGCAGCAGUGGGAAUAUUGGACAAUGGGCGAAAGCCUGAUCCAGCAAUGCCGCGUGAGUGAUGAAGGCCUUCGGUUGU
RNAcentral lists this ribosomal RNA (368 nucleotides) under uncultured bacterium. RNAcentral's name for it is "bacterial SSU rRNA". It matches the Rfam family "Bacterial small subunit ribosomal RNA", at positions 29 to 426 of the family's 1533-position model. The record is from RNAcentral.